GAUGAACGCUGGCGGCGUGCCUAAUACAUGCAAGUCGAGCGCUGAAGGUUGGUUCUUGUACCGACUGGAUGAGCAGCGAACGGGUGAGUAACGCGUGGAGAAUCUGCCUUUGAGCGGGGGACAACUUCUGGAAACGAAUGCUAAUACCGCAUAAAAACUUUAACCACAAGAUUUAAGUUUGAAAGAUGCAAUUGCAUCACCCAAAGAUGAUUCCGCGUUGUAUUAGCUAGUUGGGGAAGGAAAGGCUCACCAAGGCGAACAUACAUAGUCGACCCGGGGAGGUGGACAGCCACAAUUGGACUGGGACACGGCCCCAGCCCCUACCGGAGGCAGCAGUAGGGAAACUUCGGGAAUGGGCGGAAGGCUGACCGGACAACGCCGCGGGAGUGAAUGAGGGUUUCGGAUCGUAAAACUCUGUUGGUAAGGGAGAACGAUGUGGGGAUUGAAAAGCUCAUGAAGUGACGGUAACUACUCAGAAAGCAACGGCUAACUACGUG
This 497-nucleotide ribosomal RNA is filed under the name uncultured bacterium. Its description in RNAcentral is "partial 16S ribosomal RNA". It matches the Rfam family "Bacterial small subunit ribosomal RNA", at positions 28 to 507 of the family's 1533-position model. The record is from RNAcentral.